AGAGUUUGAUCCUGGCUCAGAUUGAACGCUGGCGGCAUGCCUUACACAUGCAAGUCGAACGGCAGCAUGAUCUAGCUUGCUAGAUUGAUGGCGAGUGGCGAACGGKUGAKUAAUGCAUCGGAACGUGCCCUGUAGUGGGGGAUAACUAGUCGAAAGAUUAGCUAAUACCGCAUACGACCUGAGGGUGAAAGUGGGGGACCGCAAGGCCUCAUGCUAUAGGAGCGGCCGAUGUCUGAUUAGCUAGUUGGUGGGGUAAAGGCCCACCAAGGCGACGAUCAGUAGCUGGUCUGAGAGGACGAUCAGCCACACUGGGAYUGAGACACGGCCCAGACUCCUACGGGAGGCAGCAGUGGGGAAUUUUGGACAAUGGGCGAAAGCCUGAUCCAGCAAUGCCGCGUGUGUGAAGAAGGCCUUCGGGUUGUAAAGCACUUUUGUCCGGAAAGAAAUGGCUCUGGUUAAUACCUGGGGUCGAUGACGGUACCGGAAGAAUAAGGACCGGCUAACUACGUGCCAGCAGCCGCGGUAAUAC
Molecule: ribosomal RNA, 529 nt
Filed under: uncultured Ralstonia sp.
Lineage: Bacteria; Pseudomonadati; Pseudomonadota; Betaproteobacteria; Burkholderiales; Burkholderiaceae
Description: bacterial SSU rRNA
Rfam family: Bacterial small subunit ribosomal RNA
Source: RNAcentral